RNAcentral lists this unclassified non-coding RNA (504 nucleotides) under Zea mays. RNAcentral describes it as "misc RNA Zm00001eb135580". Lineage: Eukaryota; Viridiplantae; Streptophyta; Magnoliopsida; Poales; Poaceae. The record is from RNAcentral.
CGGUAACACACACACGCACGCACAAGACCAGCUAGCUCUGGUUGGACCUAACACAUGCAAUAGUGACCAGACCAAUCAUGGAGUGCCUGGAAAUGCAGCGCAUGCACCGCAAGGGAAAUGGAAAACCUGCACUGCUGGCUGCCGCGGAGCAGAGCAGACAGGGACCCCCUCGGGCCUCGGCUCCAUGCUGCAUCUGCACUGCGCCAAUCCAUUGGUUUCGCUGCCCGCCGAUGCUGCUGCUGGCUGCUUCCGCCGCCUGGGUCCUAGCUGCUGCCUGGAGCUCCAGGCUCUAUGCUCUCCGGUGGGCGGCCGGACCGACCGCCUGCCAGCGACGGCGUGGAGCCGGGACGACGGGAGGAGCGGGAGCCUCGAUCCCCUCUCGCGUCGUCGUCCGUCCGGGACUCGACUGAACUGAAAGUCUGAAACCAUGUGCGCCACAUGUCCCCUGUCGGCGCGGCCAGGAACAGCGGCACGUUACCCAGUGGGAAGGAAAUCUGAAUGGCC